GCCCCUCUUUCUUUUGAAGAUCCACUUACACCCUACGGUUUUAUCUCUUCAGGUGGGUCAACCAAUGUCCAUACAUUGUUGACUUUUAUGGACUCUAUUUUGAAUUUCAUGGCUUUCAGCCACUUAUUGGAGUCAGACCUCUGCAUCGCAUCCAUAUAGAUAAUCAGAUCCUCAUUAUUCUCAUUGAGUUCAAUUGGAUCCCCAUCCCGGACUAAG
Molecule: long non-coding RNA, 216 nt
Filed under: Elaeis guineensis (African oil palm)
Lineage: Eukaryota; Viridiplantae; Streptophyta; Magnoliopsida; Arecales; Arecaceae
Description: long non-coding RNA (EGUI_LNC054348)
Source: RNAcentral